GACGAACGCUGGCGGCGCGCCUAACACAUGCAAGUCGAACGAGCGAGAGAGAGCUUGCUUUCUUGAGCGAGUGGCGAACGGGUGAGUAACGCGUGAGGAACCUGCCUCAAAGAGGGGGACAACAGUUGGAAACGACUGCUAAUACCGCAUAAGCCCACGGUGCCGCCAGGCACAGAGGGAAAAGGAGCAAUCCGCUUUGAGAUGGCCUCGCGUCCGAUUAGCUAGUUGGUGAGGUAACGGCCCACCAAGGCGACGAUCGGUAGCCGGACUGAGAGGUUGAACGGCCACAUUGGGACUGAGACACGGCCCAGACUCCUACGGGAGGCAGCAGUGGGGAAUAUUGCACAAUGGGGGAAACCCUGAUGCAGCGACGCCGCGUGGAGGAAGAAGGUCUUCGGAUUGUAAACUCCUGUUGUUGGGGAAGAUAAUGACGGUACCCAACAAGGAAGUGACGGCUAACUACGUG
This 466-nucleotide ribosomal RNA is filed under the name uncultured bacterium. RNAcentral describes it as "partial 16S ribosomal RNA". It matches the Rfam family "Bacterial small subunit ribosomal RNA", at positions 28 to 507 of the family's 1533-position model. The record is from RNAcentral.